UCUACAGACAUGAAACCCCAGCCCUGGGCC
This 30-nucleotide non-coding RNA is filed under the name Mus musculus (house mouse). The record is from RNAcentral. Lineage: Eukaryota; Metazoa; Chordata; Mammalia; Rodentia; Muridae.